RNAcentral lists this ribosomal RNA (506 nucleotides) under uncultured bacterium. RNAcentral describes it as "partial 16S ribosomal RNA". It matches the Rfam family "Bacterial small subunit ribosomal RNA", at positions 29 to 523 of the family's 1533-position model. The record is from RNAcentral.
AUUGAACGCUGGCGGCAUGCCUAACACAUGCAAGUCGAACGGCAGCAUGACCCAGCUUGCUAGGUUGAUGGCGAGUGGCGCACGGGUGAGUAAUGCGUAGGAAUAUGCCUUGAAGUGGGGGAUAACCUGGGGAAACUCAGGCUAAUACCGCAUGAGCUCUAAGGAGGAAAGCUGGGGACCGAAAGGCCUGGCGCUUCAAGAUUAGCCUACGUCCGCUUAGCUAGUUGGUAGGGUAAAGGCCUACCAAGGCGACGAUCGGUAGCUGGUCUGAGAGGAUGGUCAGCGACACUGGGACUAGAACACGGCCGAGACUACUGAGGGAGGGAGCAGUGGGGAAUUUUGGACAGUGGGGGCAAGCCCGAGGCAGCGAUGCCGAGGGUGUGAAGAAGGGGUGGGGGGUGUAAAGCACUUUCAGUGGGGAGGAGGAGUGGGGGGUUAAGAGCUAGUAAGGUGGACGUUACCCACGGAAGAAGCACCGGCUAACUCCGUGCCAGCAGCCGCCGUAA